GGGUUGUGAGGUUAAGCGACUAAGCGUACACGGUGGAUGCCCUGGCAGUCAGAGGCGAUGAAGGRCGUGCUAAUCUGCGAUAAGCGCCGGUAAGGUGAUAUGAACCGUUAUAACCGGCGAUWYCCGAAUGGGGAAACCCAGUGUGAYUCGUCACACUAUCAUUAACUGAAUCCAUAGGUUAAUGAGGCGAACCGGGGGAACUGAAACAUCUAAGUACCCCGAGGAAAAGAAAUCAACCGAGAUUCCCCCAGUAGCGGCGAGCGAACGGGGAGGAGCCCAGAGCCUGAAUCAGCAUGUGUGUUAGUGGAAGCGUCUGGAAAGGCGCGCGAUACAGGGUGACAGCCCCGUACACAAAAGCGCA
Molecule: ribosomal RNA, 361 nt
Filed under: Salmonella enterica subsp. enterica serovar Infantis
Lineage: Bacteria; Pseudomonadati; Pseudomonadota; Gammaproteobacteria; Enterobacterales; Enterobacteriaceae
Description: partial 23S ribosomal RNA
Source: RNAcentral